GGGCCCGCACAAGCGGUGGAGCAUGUGGUUUAAUUCGAUGCAACGCGAAGAACCUUACCAUCCCUUGACAUCCAGAGAAGAGACUAGAGAUAGACUUGUGCCUUCGGGAACUCUGUGACAGGUGCUGCAUGGCUGUCGUCAGCUCGUGUUGUGAAAUGUUGGUUAAGUCCCGCAACGAGCGCAACCCCUAUCCUUAUUUGCCAGCGCGUAAUGGCGGGAACUCUAAGGAGACUGCCGGUGAUAAACCGGAGGAAGGUGGGGACGACGUCAAGUCAUCAUGGCCCUUACGGGAUGGGCUACACACGUGCUACAAUGGCAGGUACAGAGGGCAGCAAUACCGCGAGGUGGAGCGAA
RNAcentral lists this ribosomal RNA (354 nucleotides) under uncultured bacterium. RNAcentral describes it as "bacterial SSU rRNA". It matches the Rfam family "Bacterial small subunit ribosomal RNA", at positions 917 to 1271 of the family's 1533-position model. The record is from RNAcentral.